Molecule: long non-coding RNA, 638 nt
Organism: Medicago truncatula (barrel medic)
Lineage: Eukaryota; Viridiplantae; Streptophyta; Magnoliopsida; Fabales; Fabaceae
Exons: 6
Source: RefSeq, a predicted model, not a curated record
CAAUGAUAUCUUCCAUCUAUGUAAGCAGUUGAAAAAAAAGCAUCUUGAUAUGUACUUUAAAAAAAAAAGGAGGGAGAGUUUCAGAAAAAAUGAAACAUUUGGAAGGAUGAGGAGCCACUUUCUUCUAUGUGCAACAUUGAUGACAAGAUUCAUCGUCUAAAGGUGUACUCUCUUGGUUGGGGUUCAACAAUAAUAACAGAUAAAACACAUGUGGAAUAUUGUCAAAAGAGAAAUUUUGGCUCAAAGAAAAUAUAGUAAUUUGCACAAUCCAAUAACUACAGAGAGCUAUCAACCUACAAAAUCACAGUUAAAGCAAGAUAACUCUAUUGAUCAGUUUUUCGAACGACAAAAAAUUAUCGAUAAAGGGGUGUACGAAGAAUUUGCUGCAAUUCUUAAAAGGGAAAUGAGAUAUGCUUCUGAUUCUACUUUUAUGUUUGGCCUUCCAUCAAAUUCUACCAAUGACGACAAAUGAAAUAUUAUUGAUGAUAAAAGUACAAUAUUAUUAUUAAUGCUUCUGAUUUUAUGAUGUUGAAUAUGAUUUCAAAUAUAGUUUUCAUUUCAUCUAUGUUUUAAUGUGUUUAUAUUGAUAUGUGGUUAUAUUAUAUUUGUUUUAAUGUGUUACUUAUCAUGACAAUAUA